ACCCCGGGAAACCGGGGCUAAUACCGGAUAAUACUUUCUUUUGCAUAAAGGAAAGUUGAAAGGCGGCUUCGGCUGUCACUUACAGAUGGGCCCGCGGCGCAUUAGCUAGUUGGUGAGGUAACGGCUCACCAAGGCGACGAUGCGUAGCCGACCUGAGAGGGUGAUCGGCCACACUGGGACUGAGACACGGCCCAGACUCCUACGGGAGGCAGCAGUAGGGAAUCUUCCGCAAUGGACGAAAGUCUGACGGAGCAACGCCGCGUGAGUGAUGAAGGUUUUCGGAUCGUAAAACUCUGUUGUUAGGGAAGAACAAGUUGGGUAGUAACUGACCCAACCUUGACGGUACCUAACCAGAAAGCCACGGCUAACUACGUGCCAGCAGCCGCGGUAAUACGUAGGUGGCAAGCGUUGUCCGGAAUUAUUGGGCGUAAAGCGCUCGCAGGCGGUCCUUUAAGUCUGAUGUGAAAUCUCGCGGCUCAACCGCGAACGGUCAUUGGAAACUGGAGGACUUGAGUACAGAAGAGGAGAGUGGAAUUCCACGUGUAGCGGUGAAAUGCGUAGAGAUGUGGAGGAACACCAGUGGCGAAGGGCGACUCUCUGGUCUGUAACUGACGCUGAGGAGCGAAAGCGUGGGGAGCGAACAGGAUUAGAUACCCUGGUAGUCCACGCCGUAAACGAUGAGUGCUAGGUGUUAGGGGGUUUCCGCCCC
This 709-nucleotide ribosomal RNA is filed under the name Oceanobacillus picturae. RNAcentral describes it as "bacterial SSU rRNA". It matches the Rfam family "Bacterial small subunit ribosomal RNA", at positions 146 to 839 of the family's 1533-position model. Lineage: Bacteria; Bacillati; Bacillota; Bacilli; Caryophanales; Bacillaceae. The record is from RNAcentral.